Molecule: long non-coding RNA, 845 nt
Filed under: Fukomys damarensis (Damara mole-rat)
Lineage: Eukaryota; Metazoa; Chordata; Mammalia; Rodentia; Bathyergidae
Description: lncRNA (ENSFDAG00000029109.1)
Source: RNAcentral
GUGGCCAGGACCCCGUGACCAGCCAGGCUGAGUUCGCCUCCCAGCAUGGCCAGGCACUUCCUCCCUGAACCUCGGUGUCCUCCUCUGUAGAGUGGGGAGCAGCCCCUCUCCUGGGGCCAGCAAGACGUAAAAGAUACACAGCCAGGAACCCUCUCAGAACACUCCUGCUCCCUUGGAAAACACUUAGCCCGUCAUUCUUGCCUGCUUCCUGCAGCAGCUCUGAAAGUCCUCUUUUGCACCUGCACACCCACGCUGUGGGCUGCCCUGCUGAGUCCGGGGAUCCAAGCAAAGGUGGGCCAGACCCCUGGACUCAGCCCUUCUCCCUGCCCGGCGCCCAGGAUCUCAGGGCUCAGACCCUCCAGCAAGCUCCCUGCUGCUCCCAGGGGAACAAGAACCCAAGCGCUGUCUGUCCUUGCGGAGGUGAAUGGACAGCACUCUUUUCACUCGGGAGGGAAACUGAGGCAGGGGUUAUUUUCUGACUGGCAUGCAUUCACCUUGGGCCUGUCUAAGCUGGGCCCUCUGCUCAGUGCUGGCAUGGGAUUGGGUACAGGGCAGAGCAAGGCUCUGGAACUCACAGGACUUUGUUACUGCUGUGCCCUCCACAGAGACCAGUGCCCAGUGUCUCCCAUUGGCCAGAUCAAAACAUAAACCCACAAACAUCCCGGGCCUUUGACUCAGCUGGCAGAGGCAAUGGGAGCCUGGUGACAGCGGCAGAAGAGCACAGGGUGGGGUCCACCGUUUGGGCAGAGGCUGUGUGCUCAGCGAUGUGGAGAACAAGGACUGCACAGCCCAAAAUGUCCAGACAGGGUCCCUCAGAGCCAGGGCCCCUGUGGGGAGCAGCAGAC